AGCAGCCGCGGUAAUUCCAGCUCCAAUAGCGUAUAUUAAAGCUGUUGCAGUUAAAAAGCUCGUAGUUGAAUUUCGGGACCAAUCUGCCGGUCGUGCCUCCGGUACGCACUGGUUUUAUUGGUUUCUCCCUUCUGACGAACUAUGAUGUCAUUAAUUUGGUGUCAUGGGGAAUCAGGACUGUUACUUUGAAAAAAUUAGAGUGUUUAUAGCAGGCUCACGCUUGAAUACAUUAGCAUGGAAUAAUGAAAUAGGACGUUUGACCCUAUUUUGUUGGUUUCUAGGAUCGACGUAAUGAUUAAUAGGGAUAGUUGGGGGCAUUAGUAUUCAAUUGUCAGAGGUGAAAUUCUUGGAUUUAUUGAAGACUAACUACUGCGAAAGCAUUUGCCAAGGAUGUUUUCAUUAAUCAAGAACGAAAGUUAGGGGAUCGAAGACGAUCAGAUACCGUCGUAGUCUUAACCAUAAACUAUGCCGACUAGGGAUCGGAUGAUGUUAAUUUUUUAAUGACUCAUUCGGCGCCUUA
RNAcentral lists this ribosomal RNA (520 nucleotides) under uncultured Glomus. RNAcentral's name for it is "SSU rRNA". It matches the Rfam family "Eukaryotic small subunit ribosomal RNA", at positions 569 to 1090 of the family's 1831-position model. Lineage: Eukaryota; Fungi; Glomeromycota; Glomeromycetes; Glomerales; Glomeraceae. The record is from RNAcentral.